GAUGAAGAACGUAGCGAAAUGCGAUAAGUAAUGUGAAUUGCUGAAUUCAGUGAAUCAUCGAAUCUUUGAACGCACAUUGCGCCCGCCAGUAUUCUGGCGGGCAUGCCUGUCUGAGCGUCAUUUCAACCCUCAUGCCCCUAGGGCGUGGUGUUGGGGAUCGGCCAAAGCCCGCGAGGGACGGCCGGCCCCUAAAUCUAGUGGCGGACCCGUCGUGGCCUCCUCUGCGAAGUAGUGAUAUUCCGCAUCGGAGAGCGACGAGCCCCUGCCGUUAAACCCCCAACUUUCCAAGGUUGACCUCAGAUCAGGUAGGAAUACCCGCUGAACUUAAGCAUAUCAAUAAGCGGAGGA
RNAcentral lists this unclassified non-coding RNA (348 nucleotides) under soil metagenome. Its description in RNAcentral is "partial contains 5.8S ribosomal RNA, internal transcribed spacer 2, and large subunit ribosomal RNA". The stretch from base 1 to 120 matches the Rfam family "5.8S ribosomal RNA", at positions 35 to 154 of the family's 154-position model. The record is from RNAcentral.